This 496-nucleotide long non-coding RNA is filed under the name Medicago truncatula (barrel medic). RNAcentral describes it as "long non-coding RNA (MTRU_LNC006921)". The record is from RNAcentral. Lineage: Eukaryota; Viridiplantae; Streptophyta; Magnoliopsida; Fabales; Fabaceae.
GUGUGACCAUGAACAGCUAAUUUAUUCACACGACAAUUGCCUUCACAGAAAAUAUGAGAACUUACCACUUGAAGUUCUAAAUAAAGACAAUUAUGCCAUGGUUCCUCAAACGGAUGAGAAUAAUAUCUAGGUUCUUAAAAUCUUGAACAACGCUAGUAGAAUCACUCUUUAGCAAAAGCAUACGCCAAAUUAUUCCUAGCUUCAAAAUUUAAGAUUAAAAUAAGAUUGGAUUUACAAAUAUAAAUAUCAAAAAGAGGUAUUUUUUUAAGAGGAACAAAAAUAGGUAAUUAUCUUAUCUCUACGAAGUGGUGAGAUUUUAAAUAAGUAAACUUACAUAAAAUUUGCUUAUGAGUUUGAGUUUAAAUUUGAACAACUGUAGAGAAUAAUUUGAUAUGAAAUACUAUUUGAUAUAUAAGAUACAAGCAAUAAAUCCCUAAAUUAUAGAGAGAGAGAAAAAAAGGUAAAGAAAAAGGGGUAUGUAGAACAUUAGUAAUUU